ACAACUCCGUUCGGCGAAUCGAAGGAGCACGCGACGGUUCGGUGGGUUUGACCUAGCCUAUGAUAUGAGAAAUGCUCAUAUUUGGCAAAUAUGUUUCGUAAAAUAGAAAUUCAUGCAUUUCCAUGUUAAAUGUAUUUAAUAUGAAUUUUAGAAUGCUUAACAUGCAUAUAUUAUGUAUAGUGAAAUUUUAGACCCCUAUGUGGUAGAGUGCAUGCAUGUGAGACUUAGCAUUCUAGUUAUGAUUGGGAACCAUGAUCCCUAUUAUGAAAACGGAUCUUGCUCUCUUGCAUUUAACCUAUAUGCCAAUUGGGACAUUAGGAAUUUUAGAAGCCUAGAGAGGGCUUGAGAACUUGGACUAUUUGAGAAUUGGGCCAAUGUCAUAAAGAGGCAUUGGGCCCGGGCUAUAGUAGUCAUUAGUAUUAAUGUUUAAAUGAAACAUAGAACAAGAAUUGAGCUUGAUCAGUGUGAUGCUUAAGUGUCAUAAAGAGGCACUAAGCAAGUGAGUGUUGGGACAUCACUUAGAGACAUUGGGCUAGAUCCUUGGGAUGCUAGUGACCUUGCCAUGUUAGAGACAUGCGGAUAGAGUAUUUGAGACAGUGACCUUGCUUGUUUGCCAUUUGUGCUCAUUCGCACAUGCUUGUGAGGGUCGCUCCCUACAAGCCGGCACUCCGGAGUUAGCCUACGCGACUUAUGUUCGCUCGUGCGGUAUUGAGAAGCCUACGGGGUCGAGUGGGACAGACACAUUCCAAGAGUAGGGAUGUUGGGCUACCACAGGCACUUAGGCGGCACAAGCUGGACUACCUUUGGUAGGUCCUUAAUUGGAAAUGGAAAUCGACACGGUGUUGAGUUUAUUAUGAUCACUACUAGUCAGAGAGUAGUAGUAGGAUUACUUGGACUUACUUCUAGCAUAGUUGUGGACAUUUGGGUAUUCAUACAUACAUGUAGUAUGCUAGGAGAUGUUGUUUAUUGCAUCCUUAUAUGCAUUGUAGUCAUGACCAAGUAUUACUUUCAUAUCUGUAUAAAGUAAAGCAUGAUAUUACUUGUGAACAUAUAUAUCCAUGACAAGAUAAAGUCGCAUUAGGAAUGCCAUGUUUAAUUGCAAGUUGUAGCUUAGCAUCCUAAUUAUUAUGCUUUCUAAUAUGCAAUUUACUCGUUACUCUUAUUGUUAGACUUACCCUUUUCUUUGGGGCCUAGUGGUGCACUGAGCUGAGGUCAGUAAUUGCCCACUGGGAACUAUAAAUUAUAGUUCUCACGCCCUCUUUUUCUCGAUGUUUUUCAGAGCCUUCCACGCCGGGUGAGGCCAGGGACCG
Molecule: long non-coding RNA, 1310 nt
Filed under: Ananas comosus (pineapple)
Lineage: Eukaryota; Viridiplantae; Streptophyta; Magnoliopsida; Poales; Bromeliaceae
Description: long non-coding RNA (ACOM_LNC040935)
Source: RNAcentral